Entelurus aequoreus (snake pipefish) is the source of this 441-nucleotide long non-coding RNA. RefSeq lists it as uncharacterized. The record is from RefSeq and is a predicted model, not a curated record. NCBI's taxonomy places the organism in Eukaryota, Metazoa, Chordata, Actinopteri, Syngnathiformes, Syngnathidae. The transcript is spliced from 4 exons.
CGCUUGAAAAUGACGUCAGCACGCCCUCCUAUAAAUACAGCCCUGCGCCUGCGUCACAUCCUCUUUCCGCUGCUCUUCUCGCUUCGAGACUCAUCUCCACACGAUGAGAGCUAAGUGGAGGAAGAAGCGCAUGCGCAGGCUGAAGCGUAAAAGGAGAAAGAUGAGGCAGAGGUCAAAGUAAGCCCUCGUUGUGCCAGGCGUUGCCCCGCCCGGUCGGACUUGAUUGACGGCUGUGACUGGAGCGGUUCUUGACCACCUCCUGCGGCUUCCCGAUGGCCGCAAGCUUCAUCUGCCCCAGUUCCUGACCUGGGACUCUUCUGCUCCAGUUCCUGACCUGGGACUUUUAACAUCAGAGCUGUGGCUGUUUGGUUCAUGGACCAUAAAUUCUGUCAACUGUCAUGUGGUGUUGAACAAUAAAUGAACACUGUUCCAAAACUUUAA